Molecule: ribosomal RNA, 254 nt
Filed under: uncultured bacterium
Lineage: Bacteria
Description: partial 16S ribosomal RNA
Rfam family: Bacterial small subunit ribosomal RNA
Source: RNAcentral
UACGUAGGGUGCGAGCGUUGUCCGGAAUUAUUGGGCGUAAAGGGCUCGUAGGCGGUUUGUCACGUCAGGAGUGAAAACUCGGGGCUCAACCCCGAGCCUGCUUCUGAUACGGGCAGACUGGAGGUAUGCAGGGGAGAACGGAAUUCCUGGUGUAGCGGUGAAAUGACGCAGAUAUCAGGAGGAACACCGGUGGCGAAGGCGGUUCUCUGGGCAUUACCUGACGCUGAGGAGCGAAAGUGUGGGGAGCGAACAGG